GGAUAUGAGGGCGAUUUGUCACCCCAUUCAUCGCCAGGGUUGAUUCGGCUGAUCUGGCUGACUAGGCGGGUGUCCCCUUCCUCCCUCACCACUCCAUGUGUGUCCCUCCUGAAGCUGCACGCUCGGUCGAAGAGGAUGACCAUCCCCGCUAGAGGAGGACCGGUCUUUGGUCAAGGGUAUACGCGUAAGCUGCGCUCCCCUGCUAGAACCUCCAAACAAGCUCUCAAAGUAAAGUGAUCUCUACAUUCAUACAUACUGUUGUCCUGUUAGAACCAGAGGGAUAAGGGCCCUUUACUUGACCCAGUUUAUGUUGGAUAUGUUACACA
RNAcentral lists this small nuclear RNA (326 nucleotides) under Ochotona princeps (American pika). RNAcentral describes it as "7SK RNA (ENSOPRG00000022027.1)". It matches the Rfam family "7SK RNA". From Rfam's summary of the family: 7SK was discovered as an abundant small nuclear RNA in the mid-70s but a possible function has only recently been suggested. Two independent studies have found that 7SK RNA binds the CDK9/cyclin T complex (known as elongation factor P-TEFb). P-TEFb activates transcription by phosphorylating the C-terminal domain of RNA polymerase II. The record is from RNAcentral. Lineage: Eukaryota; Metazoa; Chordata; Mammalia; Lagomorpha; Ochotonidae.